UUCCUCACCGACGUCAAUCGGCGUGCUGGAAUCCGUAAGGAAUCCACCACAACCGAUACAAACGUCGUUCGCACGUAGCGUCGAACGCGAGGGGCWAAUAGAGGUCGAGGCCUCGUGCCCACAACACAUUCCGCAUCCGAGAUUUCGAGCAUUACGCCUUGGGUGGGCUACGAGAGUGCAUGCGUACAACAAACAAGUGCCAACCACGACGCAUGCUGUGAGUUCCAGUCCGCACCACGACACCAAAGAGCGACGCGGAGCAGAAUGGAAAGGGACGAUUUUGUCGUCGUAAURCCUUAAAGAUAGGUAUCGAGCACAGGAGGCCACAAUCGGUCAGGGCUUGGGAGCCCUUGCGCCGAUGAUUGAAGUGGCUCGGU
This 377-nucleotide unclassified non-coding RNA is filed under the name Prostanthera scutata. Its description in RNAcentral is "partial external transcribed spacer". The record is from RNAcentral. Lineage: Eukaryota; Viridiplantae; Streptophyta; Magnoliopsida; Lamiales; Lamiaceae.